RNAcentral lists this ribosomal RNA (2875 nucleotides) under Parabacteroides distasonis. RNAcentral describes it as "23S ribosomal RNA". It matches the Rfam family "Bacterial large subunit ribosomal RNA". Lineage: Bacteria; Pseudomonadati; Bacteroidota; Bacteroidia; Bacteroidales; Tannerellaceae. The record is from RNAcentral.
AGAAAGUAAGCAAGGGCAGACGGUGGAUGCCUUGGCUCUCGGAGGCGAUGAAGGACGUGAUAAGCUGCGAAAAGCUCGGGGGAGGCGCAAAUAGCCCUUGAUCCCGGGAUAUCCGAAUGGGGCAACCCGGCAGGCUGAAGGCCUGCCAUCCCGUAAGGGAGGCGAACGUGGGGAACUGAAACAUCUAAGUACCCAUAGGAGGAGAAAAUAAACAAUGAUUCCGUAAGUAGUGGCGAGCGAACACGGAAGAGCCCAAACCCGUGUCGUCUAGGCGACACGGGGGUUGUAGGACCACGACGUGGCAAGAUAGAGUCAAGUGGAACGCCUUGGAAAAGGCGACCGUAGAGGGUGAUAGUCCCGUACACGACUGACGAUUGAAGCCUAGUGGCAUCCUGAGUAGCGCGGGGCACGAGAAAUCUUGCGUGAAACUGCGGGGCCCAUCCCGUAAGGCUAAAUACUCCCGAGAGACCGAUAGCGAACCAGUACCGUGAGGGAAAGGUGAAAAGAACCCCGAGCAGGGGAGUGAAAUAGACCCUGAACCCGUCUGCCUACAAGCGGUCGGAGCAUCGUCAAGAUGUGACGGCGUGCCUUUUGCAUAAUGAACCUACGAGUUACCUUCCCCGGCAAGGUUAAGUACCUAAGGUACGGAGCCGAAGCGAAAGCGAGUCUGAAUAGGGCGGCCAGUCGGGGGGGGUAGACGCGAAACCGAGUGAUCUACCCUUGGCCAGGUUGAAGGUUGGGUAACACCAACUGGAGGACCGGAUGGGUAAGCGUUGAAAAGCUUUCCAAUGAGCUGAGGGUAGGGGUGAAAGGCUAAUCAAACUCGGAGAUAGCUCGUACUCCCCGAAAUGCAUUUAGGUGCAGCCUCUUUAUAGUAUAUCGUGAGGUAGAGCGACUGAUUGGAUGCGAGGGCUUCACCGCCUAUCAAGUCCAGAUAAACUCCGAAUGCGCGAUAUAUAUUUAAAGGGAGUGAGGGCGCGGGUGCUAAGGUCCGUGUCCGAGAGGAGAAGAAUCCAGACCACCGGCUAAGGCCCCCAAAUGAUCGUUGAGUUGAACUAACGAGGUCGGAUCGCAGAGACAGCUAGGAUGUUGGCUUGGAAGCAGCCAUUCAUUUAAAGAGUGCGUAACAGCUCACUAGUCGAGCGAUCUGGCGUGGAUAAUAAUCGGGCAUAAACGAUCUGCCGAAGCCGUGGAUGUCGUAAGACAUGGUAGGGGAGCAUUCCAUGGGCGUCGAAGAUGAGGGAUGACCCUUGUUGGAGCGCAUGGAAAAGCAAAUGUAGGUAUGAGUAACGAUAAGGGGGGCGAGAAACCCCCCCGCCGAAAGACCAAGGUUUCCUGAUCAACGCUAAUCGGAUCAGGGUGAGUCGGGACCUAAGGCAAAGCCGAACGGCGACGCCGAUGGAAGAAUGGGUUAAUAUUCCCAUACUGCCUCAUGGAGUGACGUGGAGACGGAGAAGUGACAGUCCUGCCGGCUGACGGAAUAGCCGGUUGAAGGGUGUAGAUAUUGAUUCCCGUAGGCAAAUCCGCGGGGAGAGUCGAACCUGAGAGUAUACGGAGCGCUUGCGCAACGUAAUAUGGACGUAACCAUGCUCCCGAGAAAAUCCGCUAAACUUAUCCAUGCGGCACCCGUACCGUAAACGGACACACGUGGUCGGGUUGAGAAUACUGAGGCGCUCGAGUGACUCACGGUUAAGGAACUAGGCAAAUUGACCCUGUAACUUCGGGAUAAAGGGUCCUCGUCGUAAGGCGAGGCGCAGAGAAUAGGUCCAGGCAACUGUUUAACAAAAACACAUGGCUGUGCUAAAUGGAAACAUGACGUAUACAGCCUGACACCUGCCCGGUGCUGGAAGGUUAAGAGGAGAUGUCAUCGCAAGAGAAGCGUUGAAUUGAAGCCCCAGUAAACGGCGGCCGUAACUAUAACGGUCCUAAGGUAGCGAAAUUCCUUGUCGGGUAAGUUCCGACCUGCACGAAUGGUGUAAUGAUCUGGACACUGUCUCAACCGUGAGCUCGGUGAAAUUGUAGUAUCGGUGAAGAUGCCGAUUACCCGCGAUGGGACGAAAAGACCCCGUGAACCUUUACUAUAGCUUUACAUUGAAUUUGGGCAGACGAUGUGUAGGAUAGGCCGGAGGCUUUGAAGGGGGUACGCCAGUAUCCUUGGAGCCGCCGUUGAAAUACGGCCCUUCGGUUGUUUGAGUUCUAACUCCUAGGCAGGAGGACACUGUAUGGUGGGUAGUUUGACUGGGGUGGUCGCCUCCAAAAGCGUAACGGAGGCUUCUAAAGGUGCCCUCAGACCGAUUGGUAACCGGUCGCAGAGUGUAAUGGCAUAAGGGCGCUUGACUGGGAGAGAUACAACUCGAUCAGGUAGGAAACUAGAGCAUAGUGAUCCGGUGGUUCCGCAUGGAAGGGCCAUCGCUCAAAGGAUAAAAGGUACUCCGGGGAUAACAGGCUGAUCAUUCCCAAGAGCUCAUAUCGACGGAAUGGUUUGGCACCUCGAUGUCGGCUCGUCACAUCCUGGGGCUGGAGAAGGUCCCAAGGGUUGGGCUGUUCGCCCAUUAAAGUGGCACGCGAGCUGGGUUCAGAACGUCGUGAGACAGUUCGGUCUCUAUCUAUCGUGGGCGCAGGAGAUUUGAGGGGCUCUGACACUAGUACGAGAGGACCGUGUUGGACGUACCACUGGUUUACCGGUUGUCCCGCCAGGGGCACCGCCGGGUAUCUAAGUACGGAUCGGAUAAGUGCUGAAAGCAUCUAAGUACGAAGCCGGCCUCAAGAUUAGAUCUCCCUCAAGGGUGGUUAUAGACGAUGACCUUGAUAGGCCACAGGUGUAAGGGCGGCGACGUCCGAGCCGAGUGGUACUAAUAGCCCGGGACUUUCCUCA